Oryza punctata is the source of this 207-nucleotide non-coding RNA. The record is from Rfam. NCBI's taxonomy places the organism in Eukaryota, Viridiplantae, Streptophyta, Magnoliopsida, Poales, Poaceae.
UGUAAACGCAGCUCUGACUUUUCAUGUCUAACUUUAACCGUCCAUCUUAUUUAAAUUUUUUUAUGAUUAGGAUUUUGAUUUUUAUUGUUAUUAGAUGAUAAAACAUAAAUAGUACUAUAUGCGUGACUUAUGUUUUAUAAUUUUUCAAAAAAAAUUCAAAUAAAACAGACGAUUAAAGUUGGACAAAAAACUCAUGUUGCGCUUAAA